UUAACACGACCUGUUUACUGAGGGGAUUAACACAACCUGUUUACUGAGGGAUUAACAACCUGUUUACUGAGGGAUUAACACAACCUGGUUACUGAGGGAUUAACACUGAGGGUAACAACUUCAGGAUUCAGAAAAAUAAAACACAAAUGCCGUUGUUCUGUUUGUCGUUUAAUCAUUGUUUAUCAAAGAUUCUAUAAAAAUGAAACAAUGAAAAAGUCAAGAAGCAUGUUUGUUAUCUUUCUAAGUGGAGUUAAAAGUAAACAAUAUACAUUUGAGGCUACAUGUAAUACGACAAUACGAAACAACUGGUACAAAAAUCUCCUUCAUGAUCCAAUAUCUACAGUGAGUUGAGUAUCUUGAUCUGAUGGUGUGUGUGUGUGUGUGGGGGGUGUGUGUGUGUGGGUAUCCUGAUGAAGACCAAUCAUCAGCAAAGUGGGUGGAGGGUUUAUGGUUUUGAUACACAUAAAGUGACACUUUACAUCCAGGUAACCAGAUAGGCGGGUAACCAGACAGGCAGGUAACCAGACAGGCAGGUCAGACAGGUAGGUAACCAGACAGGCAGGUAACCAAACAGGUAGGUAACCAGACAGGCAGGUAACCAGACAGCCAGGUAACCAGACAGCCAGGUAACCAGACAGGCAGGUAACCAGACAUCCAGGUAACCAGACAGGUAGGUCACCAGACAGGCAGGUAACCAGACAGGCAGGUAACCAGACAGCCAGGUAACCAGACAGGCAGGUAACCAGACAGGCAGGUAACCAGACAGGCAGGUAACCAGACAGGCAGGUAACCAGACAGGCAGGUCACCAGACAGGCAGGUAACCAGACAGGCAGGUAACCAGACAGGCAGGUAACCAGACAGGCAGGUAACCAGACAUCCAGGUAACCAGACAGGUAGGUCACCAGACAGGCAGGUAACCAGACAGGCAGGUAACCAGACAGGCAGGUAACCAGACAGGCAGGUAACCAGACAGGUAGGUAACCAGACAGGCAGGUAACCAGACAGGUAGGUAACCAGACAGGCAGGUAACCAGACAGGCAGGUAUCCAGACAGGCAGGUAACCAGACAGGUAGGUAACCAGACAGGUAGGUAACCAGACAGGCAGGUAACCAGACAGGCAGGUAACCAGACAGGCAGGUAACCCGUUAUUGCUGUAUAUCUACAACAAAACAUAUCAUAGACAAAUAUACUGAAUCGUGUCAAAAUAAAAUUACCAAUCAUAAUUUGGUUUACUUUUCGCUCAGCCAAAUCUAUCUUCUAAACAGCACCCUGUACCCCAUUCCCAAACAGCACCCUGUUCCUCAGUCCCAAACAGCACCCUGUUCCCCAUUCCCAAACAGCACCCUGUUCCCCAUUCCCAAACAGCACCCUGUUCCUCAGUCCCAAACAGCACCCUGUUCCCCAUUCCCAAACAGCACCCUGUUCCCCAUUCCCAAACAGCACCCUGUUCCUCAGUCCCAAACAGCACCCUGUUCCCCAUUCCCAAACAGCACCCUGUUCCCCAUUCCCAAACAGCACCCUGUUCCCCAUUCCCAAACAGCACCCUGUUCCUCAGUCCCAAACUGCACCCUGUACCCCAGUCCCAAACAGCACCCUGUUCCCCAGUCCCAAACAGCACCCUGUUCCUCAGUCCCAAACUGCACCCUGUACCCCAGUCCCAAACAGCACCCUGUUCCCCAGUCCCAAACAGCACCCUGUUCCCCAUUCCCAAACAGCACCCUGUUCCUCAGUCCCAAACUGCACCCUGUACCCCAUUCCCAAACAGCACCCUGUUCCUCAGUCCCAAACUGCACCCUGUACCCCAUUCCCAAACAGCACCCUGUUCCUCAGUCCCAAACUGCACCCUGUACCCCAGUCCCAAACAGCACCCUGUACCCCAGUCCCAAACAGCACCCUGUUCCCCAGUCCCAAACAGCACCCUGUUCCCCAGUCCCAAACAGCACCCUGUUCCCCAGUCCCAAACAGCACCCUG
Molecule: long non-coding RNA, 1973 nt
Organism: Oncorhynchus tshawytscha (Chinook salmon)
Lineage: Eukaryota; Metazoa; Chordata; Actinopteri; Salmoniformes; Salmonidae
Source: Ensembl